AUUGGGCCGACGAGUCCCAAAUAGAACGAAAUGCGCAUCCUGGAU
This 45-nucleotide non-coding RNA is filed under the name Trichobilharzia regenti. Lineage: Eukaryota; Metazoa; Platyhelminthes; Trematoda; Strigeidida; Schistosomatidae. The record is from RNAcentral.